Acanthochromis polyacanthus (spiny chromis) is the source of this 1091-nucleotide long non-coding RNA. RefSeq lists it as uncharacterized. The transcript is spliced from 3 exons. The record is from RefSeq and is a predicted model, not a curated record. NCBI's taxonomy places the organism in Eukaryota, Metazoa, Chordata, Actinopteri, Pomacentridae.
ACAUCAUAAAUCAGACUGUAGGAUCUUUACAAUAAUAUUUAAACUUGUUAGGAAAAGUGACAAAUCAAGUUUUAUUUCUCUGAAAGUAUUUAACAUGAAAAACUCAUGAAAUAACUGCAAAGAGACACAAAACCAGAGAUGAGAUAAAACACCUCCAGGCUCUGCAGUGAAAUAAAAGCUCCUCAUGAAGCUGUUUGGAGGACGAGGAAGAAGGUGAACAAACAUCUAAAACACACUUUAGUUCACUUCCUGUCUCACUACAUGACUCUAUUUGUGUUAUUUCAGUUUUUUAUUGUUUUCACAUCCAGCUGAUCUGGAUCAACAAAGUUCACAGAGAGCAGCACAGAGGCAGCAGCUGGGUUCAGGUUGGUGACUUUCAUUGUGUUUAAAGCAUUUCUUACAUUCCUGUAUGAUCACAGUCACCUCCUGCUGUUUCUACUGUGUCCAGCAGGUGGAGCCAACAUCAACUAGUGAAGUCUGUCUGAAGGCUCCAACUUCAACUAAACCCACAGCUGGGAUGGACUCCAGCCUCUAUUACCCUGAUGAGGAUUAAACAGUGUGCAGAUGAUCUGUUUCACAAACAAACUCUCAGAAUAUCCUCAAAUGUAGCUGAGCUUCAGUUCAGAUCUUUUUUGUAAAACUCACUGCUCCUCCAUGAAGGAUCCAGUUCAUAUGUUGUAGUUCAGCAUCUCUACAGUUAACUGAACAUGUGAUACCAGUGAGUUAAACAUUAAACCAACACUCUGAUCACUGGGUUGGUCCUCAUUUCAUUCUUGAACUCGGACUCAGAAGGAAGCAGUGACUGUCCACAGGUGAGUUCCGUUCAUUAAAACCUAGAGAAAUGAAAACAGCUGUGAAGUUCUGUGACUGUAAACUGACAGCUGAUGGUGUGUUUCAGGUGUUUGAUCAGAUGAAGAAUCCCUGCAUGAACUCUGUUACCUGCAGAAACAUCAGAGUGAAGAGCGACGGCCGCCUCAGGUGGUCGUCCAGGUGAAUUCAUGUGACGCUGUGGCAGCUCCUGAUGUGAUUUCUUUCUGGUGGGUUUCCAGCAGAGGGCAGCAUGGCAGCAGCACCUGGUGAGUCCAUUCAGG